CACGUAUUUAGCCGGUGCUUCUUAGUCAGGUACCGUCAUUUUUCUUCCCUGCUGAUAGGGCUUUACAUACCGAAAUACUUCUUCACCCACGCGGCGUCGCUGCAUCAGGGUUUCCCCCCAUUGUGCAAUAUUCCCCACUGCUGCCUCCCGUAGGAGUUUGGGCCGUGUCUCAGUCCCAAUGUGGCCGGUCGCCCUCUCAGGCCGGCUACUGAUCGUCGGUUUGGUGGGCUGUUACCCCGCAACUGCCUAAUCAGACGCGGGCCCAUCCCAUACCGCUAAUGCUUUCCAUCCAGGGGCAUGCGCCCCCGCAUGUACAUGCGGUAUUAGCAGCCGUUUCCGGCUGUUAUCCCCCUGUAUGGGGCAGGUUACCCACGCGUUACUCACCCGUCCGCCACUCAGUCAAAGGCGCUCCUCCCGAAGGGAUUCCGCUCCAGUGCUUCGUCGACUUGCAUGUGUUAAGCACGCCGCCAGCGUUCAUCCUGAGCCAGGAUCAAACUCU
Molecule: ribosomal RNA, 499 nt
Filed under: uncultured Lachnospiraceae bacterium
Lineage: Bacteria; Bacillati; Bacillota; Clostridia; Lachnospirales; Lachnospiraceae
Description: partial 16S ribosomal RNA
Source: RNAcentral